GCAGGCAGAGCGGCCUCACCCUCCGGCCCCUGGCCGCCGCGUCGCGGCUCUGGGCUCCAUCCUCUGUGCCACCUCGGCCGGGAUUGGGGGACCCUGACCUACUCUGCGGGUAGGACGCGGAGGGGACGGGCCGGCCACGCCCCCCAGCCACUCCCUGGAGGCGCUGGAAAAGGAAAGAGGGCUGACUGAAGGGCAAGAAGAAAAAAACCCUCGAGGGAUCUCUCCGUCCCCUGAGCUCCUACGACCGGAUAAGUGAUCUUCCUAAAUGAACAGAAAAGCCAGCUGAGGGCCAAGCACCCAGAUGGGCCUGUGGACGAAAGGGGCCACGUGCUGACCAGACCGGCUCAAGGAGUCCUGCAUGGCGGUCUUGCAAACUCAGAGACCUAAAGUCACCACAAAGGAUGGUCUGAAAUUAAACUUUAACUAAAAGCAGUGAUGGUGGGCAGUUACGUCCUGGGCCAGUA
Molecule: long non-coding RNA, 464 nt
Organism: Myotis myotis
Lineage: Eukaryota; Metazoa; Chordata; Mammalia; Chiroptera; Vespertilionidae
Exons: 3
Source: RefSeq, a predicted model, not a curated record